CGGCAGGCUUAACACAUGCAAGUCGAGGGGCAGCACGGGUAGCAAUACCGUGGUGGCGACCGGCGCAAGGGUGCGUAACGCGUGAGCAACAUGCCCUAUACAGGGGGAUAAUCCAGGGAAACUUGGUCUAAUAUCCCAUAGUAUUUAGAGGAGGCAUCUUCUAUAAAUUAAAGGCUUCGGUGGUAUAGGAUUGGCUCGCGUGACAUUAGCUAGAUGGUGAGGUAACGGCUCACCAUGGCAAUGAUGUCUAGGGGUUCUGAGAGGAAGGCCCCCCACACUGGGACUGAGACACGGCCCAGACUCCUACGGGAGGCAGCAGUGAGGAAUAUUGGACAAUGGAUGGAAAUCUGAUCCAGCCAUGCCGCGUGCAGGAAGACAGCCCUAUGGGUUGUAAACUGCUUUUAUAUGGGAGCAAUAAGGUCUACGUGUAGACUGAUGAGAGUACCAUAUGAAUUAAGCAUCGGCUAACUCCGUG
Molecule: ribosomal RNA, 475 nt
Filed under: uncultured bacterium
Lineage: Bacteria
Description: bacterial SSU rRNA
Rfam family: Bacterial small subunit ribosomal RNA
Source: RNAcentral